UGGGGAAUAUUGCACAAUGGGGGAAACCCUGAUGCAGCGACGCCGCGUGAACGAAGAAGGUAUUCGUAUCGUAAAGUUCUGUCCUAUGGGAAGAUAAUGACAGUACCAUAGAAGAAAGCUCCGGCUAAAUACGUGCCAGCAGCCGCGGUAAUACGAAUGGAGCGAGCGUUGUCCGGAAUUAUUGGGCGUAAAGGGUACGCAGGCGGUUUAAUAAGUCGAAUGUUAAAGAUCGGGGCUCAACCCCGUAAAGCAUUGGAAACUGAUAAACUUGAGUAGUGGAGAGGAAAGUGGAAUUCCUAGUGUAGUGGUGAAAUACGUAGAUAUUAGGAGGAAUACCAGUAGCGAAGGCGACUUUCUGGACACAAACUGACGCUGAGGUACGAAAGCGUGGGGAGCAAACAGG
This 403-nucleotide ribosomal RNA is filed under the name bacterium. Its description in RNAcentral is "partial 16S ribosomal RNA". It matches the Rfam family "Bacterial small subunit ribosomal RNA", at positions 355 to 776 of the family's 1533-position model. The record is from RNAcentral.